This is a long non-coding RNA of Rhagoletis zephyria (snowberry fruit fly), 742 nucleotides long. RefSeq lists it as uncharacterized. NCBI's taxonomy places the organism in Eukaryota, Metazoa, Arthropoda, Insecta, Diptera, Tephritidae. The record is from RefSeq and is a predicted model, not a curated record.
UAUUUUUAAAAUUUCACAAAAACAAAUAACAAAAAUAAAAAUCAAGGAGUUACAAGUUACAAGUUAACAAAUAUAUUUAACUAAAAAAGAUGUAAUGAAAUAAAGUUUGUGAAAAACAGACAACACAACAACAACAUAAGCAAAAUAAGAGGCGUGGGAAAAAAUUAAAAAAAAAAUAUUUUUAUAAAUUUAAAAACAAAACUGAAUUUAAAUGAAUAUGCAUCCAAACUGAAGUAUUGCAUAAAACUUAGCACACGCGCCCCGCAAAAGUGACUUUCAUGCAUUACGCUGCCGCAUAGCGUUGCCGCAACUGACUUGCCAACAGCAACUUGUCUAGGCAACAAAUCAAUUCAACGAUUCGGCAAUUCAGCAGUGCAACAAUUUAUGCAAUUCAACAGUCGAGUGCAGCAGCUAGCCAUCAACCAACCAACCAACCGAUCCAUUCCUAACAUCAACAUAGUGUGACCAAUAGUGCGACCGACCUACCGCACUCGCGCCCGCACACACACGCACACACAUACAUAUAUGUACUCCUAAUAUUGGAACCAGCAAGCAAAACGAACAAACAUUAUUUUCAACAUUGCAGAGAGCAGCUAGCUAGUAGUAUUUGGCAAUCAUUGAACCUGCAACCGGCGCGCGCAUCAACUGAGGCGUUCUUGCUUUCAUUGUCCCGCCAUGGGUGCCGAUUCCAAGGAUUUACGAUAAGCUAAACCUAGUGUAGUUGUUGUUGCGCUUGACUAUA